This 98-nucleotide ribosomal RNA is filed under the name Prevotella sp. Its description in RNAcentral is "partial 23S ribosomal RNA". It matches the Rfam family "Bacterial large subunit ribosomal RNA", at positions 2827 to 2925 of the family's 2925-position model. The record is from RNAcentral. Lineage: Bacteria; Pseudomonadati; Bacteroidota; Bacteroidia; Bacteroidales; Prevotellaceae.
AUUGAGGGUCGUCCGAGACGAGGACGUUGAUAGGAGGCAGGUGUAUAGACGGUGACGUCACAGCCGAGCCUUACUAAUUGCCCGAUACUUUUGCUUUA